Molecule: ribosomal RNA, 116 nt
Filed under: Nanobdellota archaeon
Lineage: Archaea; Nanobdellati; Nanobdellota
Source: RNAcentral
GGUUAGGGCCACAGUGCUCAGGGAAACACCCGUUCCCAUUCCGAACACGGAAGUUAAGCCUGGGCACGAGGUUGCUUGUACUCCCGAGUUGGGGGGAAGGCACCUUGCUCUAACUU